GAUGAAGAACGUAGCGAAAUGCGAUACGUAAUGUGAAUUGCAAAUUCAGUGAAUCAUCGAAUCUUUGAACGCACAUUGCGCCCGCUAGUAUUCUGGCGGGCAUGCCUGUUCGAGCGUCAUUUCAACCAUCAAGCCCUGCUUGUGUUGGGGUCCUGCGGCUGCCCGCAGGCCCUGAAAACCAGUGGCGGGCUCGCUAGUCACACCGAGCGCAGUAGCACAUCUCGCUCAGGGCGUGCGGCGGGUUCUUGCCGUAAAACACCCCCUUUUUACCAAGGUUGACCUCGGAUCAGGUAGGAAUACCCGCUGAACUUAAGCAUAUCAAUAAGCGGAGGA
RNAcentral lists this unclassified non-coding RNA (333 nucleotides) under soil metagenome. RNAcentral's name for it is "partial contains 5.8S ribosomal RNA, internal transcribed spacer 2, and large subunit ribosomal RNA". The stretch from base 1 to 119 matches the Rfam family "5.8S ribosomal RNA", at positions 35 to 154 of the family's 154-position model. The record is from RNAcentral.